Molecule: long non-coding RNA, 2670 nt
Organism: Helianthus annuus (common sunflower)
Lineage: Eukaryota; Viridiplantae; Streptophyta; Magnoliopsida; Asterales; Asteraceae
Exons: 4
Source: RefSeq, a predicted model, not a curated record
CGCAAUGAACAUUAAUGAAUAGUGAAUGGGUCAUCUUCAUUGGUUCACAAGGGCGACGCCUUCACCCCUUCAGUCCAUAUAUAACGCGGUGAGAAAGAGUUGUCGAUUGAUGAUGGUGGAGCGGUUAACGGAGGAGCACCGCUGCCCCUUCCGUCCAUCUUGUCUGAUCGACGCCUAUUCCCGUCUUCGAUCUCCUAAGCGCCUGUUCAAUGAAUACCCGUCGUUGCCGGCGGCCAUUUGAGUCCGAUUCUGGCAGCAACGGCUACCCAAUGGAGGCCUAUUAUUACCGGCGGCCAUUUGAGUCUGUUUCUAGCGGUGACGACCUUCAGAUUUCUUCAUGGUAAUCUCUUUUUAUCUCCAUUCUUGAGUUUUAUACUUUUAGAGCUUUUGGUAUAAUGCAUGACUUCUCUAAUUUGAGAACUCUUUGGAUCUGUAAAGCCUAAAGAAUUUCUGGUGUAAAACCCUAAGUCUACUAUGAAUUUCUAGGGGUGAUCAUGAAGUUGUAAAGGUGGAAUCUUUGCAUGUUAGGAACUCAAAUAUCAAGAUUUAGAAAUGGAACUUUGAUCGUCUUGUUGUUAUAUUAUCAACCAGUUGAAUUUCACCGGCCUGUUGGAAUUAAGGGUAUAUGGAACUGAAAGUUAUAUUUAGUCGUUGCGUACCGAGUUCGUUUGCUGGCUAUGAUGACUUUGGUAAAAAAAAGUUUAGGUUUGAUGUUGCAUAGCAAGGAUGGCGAGUGCAGUGUUUACUACUAGCAACCUGUUAUGCAGCUAUGACAACCUCUAUACCUAUUCUGUGUCGUCUAUUACAAGUCAUUAAAAAACCAAAACGAGUUCCAGUUCCAUAAACGACCUUAUUAAAAUGAGUGAAUCAUUUCCAUUUUAAUGGAUCAGUAAAAAUGGAAAGAAGGGUUUCAUGUAGCUUCAAUGACUGCAGCUAGCAGUCGUUGGGGUGUUGUGAUGUCAACAAACGCAGGAUUCUUUUACCAGGUAUUGUUAUGUGCUUUUAUCGAGCAUAUAAAAGUUAUAGCAGAAUGUUAAAUUUGCAAAUUUGAAUGCAUAUUGUUAAUAUUUUGGUACGUUUACAACCAAGCCGGCUCGGUUUGUAAAGUAGCCGAGACCAGCUCCGGGGAAGUUCCGCCGACUGUGUUGGCGCGUCAACCCUAUCAAUCGAAAGCCUAGAUCAUCGUGAAGCUCAUGGUGAUGAUCGUUUAUCUGAUUACAACGCGGUGGUGGUUCAAUUGAGACCUUAGAUAGUCGGCGGCUACGGUUCAUGACUCUAAGGUGAUGACGGAGACGAUGUAGGUUAAGUUUCAGGCGAUCAAUGGUGUCAAACGAUGGUCGUUCACAACAAAUAGACGGUCGGCGACGGUCAGCGAUGGUCAAAACAAGGGAACACAUUCUGGUCACCUAUGGUUUAGGGUUUUCACCGUACUACCGAUUAGGAAUGCGAUAUGUUUGUUUUUAUGCUUUGCAUUUUGGUACUGGUGAUGAUAACUUUUGCCUCCAGAAGAAAAUGGUAUGAUCCCUUGCUUUACCUUAGCUCCUAUUAUGAGUUUGGUUUUCAUUUUUUUAAAUCCGUUUGCAUAUAUCAUACAAGUUGUUCAACCUAUUGAUUGCUUCUUUUUGCUUGCUUAUUUCUUAAUGGUAGCUUACGUUUUUUAUUAUUAUUAAAUAGCAUUUUAACUCUCUUUGAUGUUUGUUAUGCAAGUAUACAGUUCUAAAGUCUUAAAACCGAUUUGAAUGGUGAAUAAAUCAUCUUUCUGUUUGUGUUACAAAAAAGAGGUACAACGAGUUUGUUGCACAAGUGAAAUCAGUGCUCAAACACUACCCAACUCUUCAAUUAUAUCAACCAAGAAAGGUUACAUUUGUCUUUUCCACAUAAUUAUGCAAAUCAUAUAUUUGUUUUAAAAUUUUGAUCUCUUUUCACUUUAGGUCUACAUAUAAUAUGUGUGUACACAGUUAUGUACUGUAGCAUGUAAUGUGUGUUAAAGAUUAUUGGUUGUGAACGUAUGUGAAAAAAAACACGGGUCAAAACGGGCCGACAACUUCAAAGAAGUAGAUCAAUGUGGGUUGGUGUCUUAAAGAAACGAGGCAAGUUUCGGAUCAAAAUAGGUUCGGUUCGGAUUGAAUUUAGUGUUGAUGUAUGCAAAGGUUUUGUUUUACUUCUUACAAUGCUAUGGGUUCUCAUAUAGAUAGUUUCAUAACCAAGGAGUCGCACACGCAUGUUCUUUAGCAACGCCCCCAGUGAUAGGAAAAGCUGUUGAUGUUAUGCUACUGCAGAGGUUGCAAAGAAAUGAGCUACUACGGUACCACUAUGUAAAGACCGAGCUUUCCGCCGCCGACCUCAUGGUAUCAGUCAAACCGUUUACCAGUAAAAUGUGCAGGCGUGAAGAUCGGAAAACCAACUCACUGACUGACCAACCAGGCUCGGUUAUAGCAUACGGAAGACUGAGCACACCAGCUCCAACCAUGGAUAUGACAUUGUAGAAGGCGGAGCACCACCAUGUGGCAUUGCGUGAUCAUGUGACUGGAAGCCAUUUGUCAAUGGCGCGGGCCGUUCGGUUUUAUUGUCAACCUGUCACAAUCAUGAUUUUUUUAAAUAAGUUUUUUAGAGGAACAAAAUUGUAAUUGUACCAUAAGUCAAUAAUAAUACUCAUAUGUUAAUAAGAAA